CCGUUCAAUACUGCGGAGCUCGAGGGCAGAAGAGGGGGGUGGAAUUGCUGGUGUAGUGGUGAAAUGCGUAGAUAUCAGCAGGAACACCUGUGGCGAAAGCGGCCCCCUGGUCUGCUCCUGACACUCAGACGCGAAAGCUAGGGGAGUGAACGGGAUUAGAAACCCCGGUAAUCCUAGCCGUAAACGAUGGAUGCUAGGUGUGGGUGGUAUUGACCCCAUCCGUGCCGAAGCCAACGCGUUAAGCAUCCCGCCUGGGGACUACGGCCGCAAGGUUAAAACUCAAAGGAAUUGACGGGGACCCGCACAAGCAGCGGAGCGUGUGGUUUAAUUCGAUGCUACACGAAGAACCUUACCCAGGUUUGACAUGCAGGUAGUAGUGAAGCGAAAGCGGAACGAUCCUUCGGGAAGCCUGCACAGGUGCUGCAUGGCUGUCGUCAGCUCGUGCCGUGAGGUGUUUGGUUAAGUCCACUAACGAGCGCAACCCCUGUCGUCAGUUACAUGUGUCUGGCGAGACUGCCGGUCUUAAACCGGAGGAAGGUGGGGAUGACGUCAAGUCAGCAUGGCCUUUAUAUCUGGG
Molecule: ribosomal RNA, 577 nt
Filed under: uncultured bacterium
Lineage: Bacteria
Description: bacterial SSU rRNA
Rfam family: Bacterial small subunit ribosomal RNA
Source: RNAcentral